Molecule: non-coding RNA, 72 nt
Organism: Ochromonadaceae sp. CCMP2298
Lineage: Eukaryota; Synurophyceae; Ochromonadales; Ochromonadaceae
Source: the annotation of a GenBank genome assembly
GGGAGUAUAGCUCAGGGGUAGAGCGAUCGCUUCGCAUGCGAUAGGUCUUGGGUUCAAUUCCCAAUUCUUCCA